Saccostrea cuccullata (small rock oyster) is the source of this 341-nucleotide long non-coding RNA. RefSeq lists it as uncharacterized. NCBI's taxonomy places the organism in Eukaryota, Metazoa, Mollusca, Bivalvia, Ostreida, Ostreidae. The transcript is spliced from 3 exons. The record is from RefSeq and is a predicted model, not a curated record.
GCCUUAUGGUGCAUUUGAUUGAUGAUGAGGGGACAGAAUGACGGAUAUAGAGUGGGCUGCACAUCGACAAAGGCAGAAUUCAUUAAAAUCAUCGGUAGAACCAAGGAGCCUUUGGUUGUAAUAUUCCACCAAUGAAAUGAAAUGGACAUGCAGAGGUAAUCUCAGAAUGGCCUUCCGUGAAGUCGAGCAUGCGUAUUCCAGUAAAAAAGACGGCGUAGAUGUUAGAGAAAAAAGCAAUUGGAGGCAUAUCUGAACCGUUAGGAAGGUCAAACUUCCAGAUGAAGAUAAGAGUUUAAAAAAGUUGUUGUCAACCACGUACUUGUCACACAAAGCAGAUAAAC